Non-coding RNA from Merluccius polli (Benguela hake), 75 nucleotides. NCBI's taxonomy places the organism in Eukaryota, Metazoa, Chordata, Actinopteri, Gadiformes, Merlucciidae. The record is from the annotation of a GenBank genome assembly.
GGCCCUGGGCACAGCUGGUGGAGCAUGGCAGUAACGUUGCCAAGGUUGGGGGUUCGAUUACCACUGGGACCACCA